RNAcentral lists this ribosomal RNA (253 nucleotides) under uncultured prokaryote. RNAcentral's name for it is "partial 16S ribosomal RNA". It matches the Rfam family "Bacterial small subunit ribosomal RNA", at positions 524 to 776 of the family's 1533-position model. The record is from RNAcentral.
UACAGAGGUCCCAAGCGUUGUUCGGAUUCAUUGGGCGUAAAGGGUGCGUAGGUGGCGCCGUAAGUCGGGUGUGAAAUUUCGGAGCUUAACUCCGAAACUGCAUUCGAUACUGCGGUGCUUGAGGACUGGAGAGGAGACUGGAAUUCACGGUGUAGCAGUGAAAUGCGUAGAUAUCGUGAGGAAGACCAGUGGCGAAGGCGGUUACCUGGACAAUUACUGACGCUCAGGCACGAAAGCGUGGGUAGCAAAAGGG